RNAcentral lists this ribosomal RNA (459 nucleotides) under uncultured bacterium. RNAcentral describes it as "partial 16S ribosomal RNA". It matches the Rfam family "Bacterial small subunit ribosomal RNA", at positions 338 to 795 of the family's 1533-position model. The record is from RNAcentral.
CCUACGGGGGGCAGCAGUGAGGAAUCUUGGUCAAUGGGCGGAAGCCUGAACCAGCCAAGUCGCGUGAGGGAAGACGGUCCUAGGGAUUGUAAACCUCUUUAGGCGGGGAGCAAUGCCGGGCACGCGUGCCCGGAGGGAGAGUACCCGCAGAAUAAGCAUCGGGUAACUCCGUGCCAGCAGCCGCGGUAAUACGGAGGAUGCGAGCGUUAUCCGGUUUUAUUGGGUUUAAAGGGUGCGUAGGCGGAUUUUUAAGUCAGCUGUAAAAUGUCGGGGCAAAACCCGGGGCGGCCGUUGAAACUGGGGAUCUGGGGUGGGCGAGAAGUAUGCGGAAUGCGUGGUGUAGCGGUGAAAGGCAUAGAUAUCACGCAGAACUCCGAGUGCGAAGGCAGCAUACCGGCGCCCGACGGACGCUGAGGCACGAAAGCGUGGGGAUCGAACAGGAUUAGAUACCCUGUAGUC